CAGGGAGCACAUUGAGCUGGAGUCUCUUGGGAAGGAAACACCCUGUUCUUACCUCCCUGGUUUAGCACCCUCAGAAUUGAUUCCCACAUGUAUUCCCAAGACUUUUACCAAGAGAAAGAGCAAAAUCUUGCAAUUACUGUGGUUUACGUCUCCUCCAUCCAGGUUUGGCUUUGAAACACGAGGGACAUGUUGGUAUCGAGCUCUGGUUUUGGUCUGAAGACAAUGAGAAGAGGAGAGGCUGGUUGUUGAGAUCCAGCUGCCACCAAGCAUCCCUCCCAGCUCUGAACUUCGUGUCUUGACCGAGCACCCAGGUGCCCAGGAGCCCUUAGCUGUGCCGCUGCCCCAGGGCUACUGUGCACAGCAUUCCUAUCCUCCAGACCUUUGCUGUGCCCCGACUGUGCUCCACACCAAGUUAAACGUGUCUGUCCGUGUUCCACUUCAGAGGACUAGAACUUCCAAGGUGCCUCUGAAGACUUCAUGUCAUGUGGCCUUCAGUCUCCAGAAGCCAUUCCUAAAGACUUAUGUUUUGCUGUAAGCAAUGACAUAUCCUGCUUCACAAGCCUAAAGCGAUAGAAAAACGUGGUGGUCUCUUCAUUUCCAUGAUCAGCACAUCUCAAGUGUUUGAUUCAUUGUUGAAUGAGCAGCCAAUUUACUGGCUGUAGUUUUUGUUCUUAGCCAUUUAGGACAAAGUCAACUUUCCUUGUGGCUAUUGGGUCUAAACUGCAAUCUUAAACUUUAAAUGCUAAGGGUUUCAAAAGUUUCAGGACUGCUGAGAGAUACAAGGGGG
RNAcentral lists this long non-coding RNA (787 nucleotides) under Equus caballus (horse). Its description in RNAcentral is "lncRNA (ENSECAG00000057622.1)". The record is from RNAcentral. Lineage: Eukaryota; Metazoa; Chordata; Mammalia; Perissodactyla; Equidae.